AUGCUCGGACACGCGGGGAUACGUGUAUCCCGCCGUAUUUCCCGAAUUAAGAAUAAAAAAAAGAAAAAGAAAAGGCAGGACAUGGCUGGGACACGUAGGGGACACGAGGCAGCACUGGAUCUGGAGCACCCUCCCGCCGCCGCGCUGCUGCUGCGCCCCCGCCACCGUGCAGCUGCUGCUGCAUCCCCCGCUGCAGCGCUGGCCGUCGCUGCUGCUGCUGUUGCUGCUGUAGCGGCAAGAGGAGCACGCUGGGAGGAGGGCGGUGGCGAGAGCUGCUGCGGGGGAGAUGAGAGAUCCAUCGCUGGGACGAGGGGCGAUGGCAAGAGAGUGGCAGCUUGGUCAAAGCGUUAA
This 351-nucleotide ribosomal RNA is filed under the name Triticum aestivum (bread wheat). Its description in RNAcentral is "partial small subunit ribosomal RNA". Lineage: Eukaryota; Viridiplantae; Streptophyta; Magnoliopsida; Poales; Poaceae. The record is from RNAcentral.